CAAAACUUUCAACAAUGGAUCUCUUGGUUCCGGCAUCGAUGAAGAACGCAGCGAAAUGCGAUAAGUAAUGUGAAUUGCAGAAUUCCGUGAAUCAUCGAAUCUUUGAACGCACAUUGCGCCCUCCGGUAUUCCGGAGGGCAUGCCUGUCCGAGCGUCAUCAA
This 161-nucleotide ribosomal RNA is filed under the name Teratosphaeria epicoccoides. RNAcentral's name for it is "5.8S ribosomal RNA". It matches the Rfam family "5.8S ribosomal RNA". Rfam says of the family: 5.8S ribosomal RNA (5.8S rRNA) is a component of the large subunit of the eukaryotic ribosome. It is transcribed by RNA polymerase I as part of the 45S precursor that also contains 18S and 28S rRNA. The record is from RNAcentral. Lineage: Eukaryota; Fungi; Ascomycota; Dothideomycetes; Mycosphaerellales; Teratosphaeriaceae.